AUUGAACGCUGGCGGCAUGCCUUACACAUGCAAGUCGAACGGCAGCACGGGAGCAAUCCUGGUGGCGAGUGGCGAACGGGUGAGUAAUAUAUCGGAACGUGCCCAGUCGUGGGGGAUAACGCAGCGAAAGCUGUGCUAAUACCGCAUACGAUCUAAGAAUGAAAGCGGGGGAUCGCAAGACCUCGCGCGAUUGGAGCGGCCGAUAUCAGAUUAGCUAGUUGGUGGGGUAAAGGCCCACCAAGGCGACGAUCUGUAGCUGGUCUGAGAGGACGACCAGCCACACUGGAACUGAGACACGGUCCAGGCUCCUACGGGAGGCAGCAGUGGGGAAUUUUGGACAAUGGGCGCAAGCCUGAUCCAGCAAUGCCGCGUGCAGGAUGAAGGCCUUCGGGUUGUAAACUGCUUUUGUACGGAACGAAACGGCCCUUUCUAUACAGGGGGCUAAUGACGGUACCGUAAGAAUAAGCACCGGCUAACUACGUGCCAGCCGCCGCGGUAA
Molecule: ribosomal RNA, 499 nt
Filed under: uncultured bacterium
Lineage: Bacteria
Description: partial 16S ribosomal RNA
Rfam family: Bacterial small subunit ribosomal RNA
Source: RNAcentral